RNAcentral lists this small RNA (29 nucleotides) under Bombyx mori (domestic silkworm). RNAcentral's name for it is "ovarian small RNA-9526". Lineage: Eukaryota; Metazoa; Arthropoda; Insecta; Lepidoptera; Bombycidae. The record is from RNAcentral.
UUCAUGAGCCUCUGGAAUGUGCUCGGCGC